This 364-nucleotide ribosomal RNA is filed under the name uncultured Acinetobacter sp. RNAcentral's name for it is "bacterial SSU rRNA". It matches the Rfam family "Bacterial small subunit ribosomal RNA", at positions 1 to 357 of the family's 1533-position model. The record is from RNAcentral. Lineage: Bacteria; Pseudomonadati; Pseudomonadota; Gammaproteobacteria; Moraxellales; Moraxellaceae.
UACUCGGCCGCGGGAUUAGAGUUUGAUCCUGGCUCAGAUUGAACGCUGGCGGCAGGCUUAACACAUGCAAGUCGAGCGGGGGAAGGUAGCUUGCUACUGGACCUAGCGGCGGACGGGUGAGUAAUGCUUAGGAAUCUGCCUAUUAGUGGGGGACAACAUCUCGAAAGGGAUGCUAAUACCGCAUACGUCCUACGGGAGAAAGCAGGGGACCUUCGGACCUUGCGCUAAUAGAUGAGCCUAAGUCGGAUUAGCUAGUUGGUGGGGUAAAGGCCUACCAAGGCGAUGAUCUCUAGCUGGUCUGAGAGGAUGACCAGCCACACUGGAACUGAGACACGGUCCAGACUCCUACGGGAGGCAGCAGUAG